RNAcentral lists this ribosomal RNA (497 nucleotides) under uncultured bacterium. RNAcentral describes it as "partial 16S ribosomal RNA". It matches the Rfam family "Bacterial small subunit ribosomal RNA", at positions 28 to 507 of the family's 1533-position model. The record is from RNAcentral.
GAUGAACGCUGGCGGCGUGCCUAAUACAUGCAAGUCGAGCGAACAGACGAGGAGCUUGUUCCUUUGACGUUAGCGGAGGACGGGUGAGUAACACGUGGAUAAUCUACCUAUAAGACUGGGAUAACUUCGGGAAACCGGCGCUAAUACCGGAUAAUAUAUUGAACCGCAUGGUUCUUCAGUGAAAGAUGGUUUUGCUGUAACUUAUAGAUGGAUCCGCGCGGUAUUAGCUAGUUGGUAGGGUAACGGGUUACCAAGGCAACUAUGCGUAGCCGACCUGAGAGGGUGGUCGCCGACACUGGAGCGGGACCGGGCACCAUGGUCCUGCGGGAGGCAGCAGAAGGGAAUGGGCGGCAGUGGGGGAGAGUCUUGCGGAGUGGCGGCGCGUGAGUUGUGGAGGUCUUCGGAUCGGGAAGCCCGGUUAUUAGUUAUGAACAAAUGUGAGAGGGAAAGUACACGUCUUGACGGUACCUGAACAGAAAGCCACGGCUAACUACGUG